Molecule: long non-coding RNA, 400 nt
Filed under: Dasypus novemcinctus (nine-banded armadillo)
Lineage: Eukaryota; Metazoa; Chordata; Mammalia; Cingulata; Dasypodidae
Description: lncRNA (ENSDNOG00000051213.1)
Source: RNAcentral
UCCCGAGCCUGCCUGCCCCCGCUCGCCCCUCCUCUUCCUCCUCCUCCUCUUCUUCCCACCCAGGCACCAGAAAAUCCUGGGCGUGAUGGGUACUUUGCAGGACCCUGGAACCGGAAUGGAACCGGAGCAGGUGGCUGGGAAUAGAGGGGGUGCGCCAGUGACCCGGAAAAGCCACCCACCCGACACCGACUGGAUCUGGGAGAAGGGUGGAGACCCCCUGCCUCCGGCUAGGGGGAGGAGGUUAAGCCAAGUCCGACAGCUGCAAGAAGUGGGAGGCGACGAUGCCCUCCAGAGCAGUUCAAUUUCGUCUCUCGGUUUUCCUCUCGCUAGUGGGUCUAAGCGGAGGGUGCCUCGAAGCAAGUCACGCUCCAGAAUGUCCCAUCCCACCCCAUUUGACUGA